CAGCCGCCGCGGGAAUACGAAGGGGGCUAGCGUUGCUCGGAAUCACUGGGCGUAAAGGGUGCGUAGGCGGGUCUUUAAGUCAGGGGUGAAAUCCUGGAGCUCAACUCCAGAACUGCCUUUGAUACUGAAGAUCUUGAGUUCGGGAGAGGUGAGUGGAACUGCGAGUGUAGAGGUGAAAUUUGUAGAUAUUCGCAAGAACACCAGUGGCGAAGGCGGCUCACUGGCCCGAUACUGACGCUGAGGCACGAAAGCGUGGGGAGCAAACAGGAUUAGAUACCCCUGUAGUCCCUGUCUCUUAUAC
This 301-nucleotide ribosomal RNA is filed under the name uncultured bacterium. RNAcentral's name for it is "partial 16S ribosomal RNA". It matches the Rfam family "Bacterial small subunit ribosomal RNA", at positions 509 to 807 of the family's 1533-position model. The record is from RNAcentral.